Molecule: transfer RNA, 75 nt
Filed under: uncultured marine group II/III euryarchaeote KM3_13_G01
Lineage: Archaea; Methanobacteriati; Methanobacteriota
Description: tRNA-Arg
Rfam family: tRNA
About the family: Transfer RNA (tRNA) molecules are approximately 80 nucleotides in length. Their secondary structure includes four short double-helical elements and three loops (D, anti-codon, and T loops).
Source: RNAcentral
GGGGGUAUAGUGUAAUGGUUAGCACCGCGGGUUUCGAACCCGCAAACCUCGGUUCGAUUCCGAGUACCCUCGCCA